Small nuclear RNA from Sorex araneus (European shrew), 107 nucleotides. NCBI's taxonomy places the organism in Eukaryota, Metazoa, Chordata, Mammalia, Eulipotyphla, Soricidae. The record is from RefSeq and is a predicted model, not a curated record.
AUGCUCACUUCGGCAGCACAUGUAAUAAAAUUGGAACCAUAGAAAGAAAAUUAGCAUGGCGCCUGCACAAGGACAACAUGCAAAUUUCUGGAGCAUUUCAGAUGUUU